This 337-nucleotide unclassified non-coding RNA is filed under the name soil metagenome. RNAcentral describes it as "partial contains 5.8S ribosomal RNA, internal transcribed spacer 2, and large subunit ribosomal RNA". The stretch from base 1 to 120 matches the Rfam family "5.8S ribosomal RNA", at positions 35 to 154 of the family's 154-position model. The record is from RNAcentral.
GAUGAAGAACGCAGCGAAAUGCGAUAAGUAAUGUGAAUUGCAGAAUUCAGUGAAUCAUCGAGUCUUUGAACGCACAUUGCGCCCCUUGGUAUUCCAUGGGGCAUGCCUGUUCGAGCGUCAUUUGUACCUUCAAGCUCUGCUUGGUGUUGGGUGUUUGUCUCGCCUCUGCGUGUAGACUCGCCUCAAAACAAUUGGCAGCCGGCGUAUUGAUUUCGGAGCGCAGUACAUCUCGCGCUUUGCACUCAUAACGACGACGUCCAAAAGUACAUUUUUACACUCUUGACCUCGGAUCAGGUAGGGAUACCCGCUGAACUUAAGCAUAUCAAUAAGCGGAGGA